Molecule: ribosomal RNA, 253 nt
Filed under: uncultured bacterium
Lineage: Bacteria
Description: partial 16S ribosomal RNA
Rfam family: Bacterial small subunit ribosomal RNA
Source: RNAcentral
UACGGAGGGGACUAGCGUUGUUCGGAAUUACUGGGCGUAAAGCGCACGUAGGCGGAUUUGUAAGUCAGGGGUGAAAUCCCGGGGCUCAACCUCGGAACUGCCUUUGAUACUGCAAAUCUCGAGUCCGGAAGAGGUGAGUGGAAUUCCUAGUGUAGAGGUGAAAUUCGUAGAUAUUAGGAAGAACACCAGUGGCGAAGGCGGCUCACUGGUCCGGUACUGACGCUGAGGCGCGACAGCGUGGGGAGCAAACAGG